GCAGGGAUAGCGAAGCGGUCAAACGCGCUAGCUUCAGGGGCUAGUGGCUUAGGCCUUCGAGGGUUCAAAUCCCUCUCCCUGCA
This 83-nucleotide transfer RNA is filed under the name Candidatus Parvarchaeota archaeon. RNAcentral's name for it is "tRNA-Leu". It matches the Rfam family "tRNA". From Rfam's summary of the family: Transfer RNA (tRNA) molecules are approximately 80 nucleotides in length. Their secondary structure includes four short double-helical elements and three loops (D, anti-codon, and T loops). Further hydrogen bonds mediate the characteristic L-shaped molecular structure. tRNAs have two regions of fundamental functional importance: the anti-codon, which is responsible for specific mRNA codon recognition, and the 3' end, to which the tRNAs corresponding amino acid is attached (by aminoacyl-tRNA synthetases). tRNAs cope with the degeneracy of the genetic code in two manners: having more than one tRNA (with a specific anti-codon) for a particular amino acid; and 'wobble' base-pairing, i.e. permitting non-standard base-pairing at the 3rd anti-codon position. Lineage: Archaea; Nanobdellati; Candidatus Parvarchaeota. The record is from RNAcentral. RNAcentral also lists the same sequence under 2 other names.